This 282-nucleotide unclassified non-coding RNA is filed under the name uncultured soil eukaryote. Its description in RNAcentral is "sequence contains 5.8S rRNA gene, ITS2, 28S rRNA gene". The record is from RNAcentral.
AACGCACAUUGCGCUCGAGGCCUCGGCCGAGAGCAUGUCUGCCUCAGCGUCGGCAUAACCCUCGCCAAACCCUCGGUAUGGCGGAGUUGGCCGUCUUGCUGCCGACCGGUUCCGACCGGUCAGCGGGUCGGCUGAAGCUGAGCGGCUACAGUAAACCCUUAUUGGGCGCUGGCUCGGUAGGUAGCUUCGGCUGCAUGCCGCCAGACCGCUCUGGGCUUGCUGCACGCCCACUUUAUUUCUCAAUUCGACCUGAGAUCAGGCAAGAGCACCCGCUGAACUUAA